Non-coding RNA from Anolis sagrei ordinatus, 1758 nucleotides. The record is from RefSeq and is a predicted model, not a curated record. Lineage: Eukaryota; Metazoa; Chordata; Lepidosauria; Squamata; Anolidae.
UGGGAUUCAGCUAGACCUCAACUAGUGUUUUGGGGGGCCCUUUGAAGAAGGAUAUAGGCAAGUGGGAGCCAGUUCAGAGAAGGACAAGGAGGAGGAGGAUAUGAACCACGGAGAAGGUAUUGUAGGAGGAAGGUUGGGAGAAGAUAUCAUAAGAGAUAGAGAAGAAAGCCUAGGAGGAAAAGGUGGAGAUCAAAUCAUGGAUGAAGAAGGAAUCAUUGGGGGAAAGUUGGAGAAAUAUAGGAGAUGAAGACAUUAUAGGAGAUGAAGUAAGCAUAGGAGGAAAGGUUGGAGAUCAAAUAGGAGAUGGAGAAGUCUUCUGAGGAAAGCUUGGAGAUCAAAUAGGAGAUGGAGAAGUCUUCUGAGGAAAGGUUGGAGAUCAAAUAGGAGAUGGAGAAGUCUUCUGAGGAAAGGUUGGAGAUGAAAUAGGAGAUGAUGAAGUCUUCUGAGGAAAGGUUGGAGAUGAAAUAGGAGAUGAUGAAGUCUUCUGAGGAAAGGUUGGAGAUGAAAUAGGAGAUGAUGAAGUCUUCUGAGGAAAGGUUGGAGAUGAAAUAGGAGAUGGAGAAGUCUUCUGAGGAAAGGUUGGAGAUCAAAUAGGAGAUGGAGAAGUCUUCUGAGGAAAGGUUGGAGAUGAAAUAGGAGAUGGAGAAGUCUUCUGAGGAAAGGUUGAAGAUCAAAUAGCAGAUGGAGAAGUCAUCUGAGGAAAGGUUGGAGAUCAAAUAGUAGGUCCCUUCCAAUUCCCUCUCCAAUCAUAGGUGGAGAACAAAGCUUUGCAUGAAAAGUUGGAGAUGAAAUAAGAGGUAGGAGGAAAGGUUGGAGAUUACAUAGUAAGAGAUGGAGAAGGAACCAUAAGAGAAAAGGUUGGAGAAAUGUAGGAGAUGGAGAAGACAUUAUAGGAGAUAGAGAAGAAAUCGCUGGAGGAAAGUUUGGAGAUCAUAAUAGAUGGAGAAGUAAGUAUAGCAGGAAAGGUUGGACAUCAAGGAAUAGAAGAUGGAGAAGAACUCCUAGGAGGAAAGGUUGGAGAUCAUAAUAGAUGGAGAAGAAGUCAUAGGAAGAAAGGUUGGAGAUCAAAUAAUAGGAGAUGGAAAAGAAGUCAUAGGAGGAAAGGUUGGACAUCAAGGAACAGAAGAUAGAGAAUAAGUCCUAGGAGGAAAGGUUGGAGAUCAAAUAAUAGGAGAUGGAGAAGAAGUCAGAAGAGGAAAGGUUAGAGAUCAAAUAAUAGGAGAUGGAGAAGAAAGCAUAGGAGGAAAGGUUGGAAUCCAAAUCAUAGGAGGAAAGGAUAAACAAGCCAUAGGAAAUAGAGAAAUCAGGAAGAAAGAUUGGAGAAGAAGUCAUGGGAGAUGGAGAAGAAAGCAUAGGAGGAAAGGUUGGUCAUUAAAGUAUAGAAGAUGGAGAAGAAGUCCUAGGAGGAAAGGUUGGAGAUCAUAAUAGAUGGAGAAGUAAGUAUAAGAGGAAAGGUUAGAGAUCAAAUAAUAGGAGAUGGAGAAGAAAGCAUAGGAGGAAAGGUUGGAGAUCAUAAUAGAUGGAAAAGUAAACAUAGGAGGAAAGGUUGGAGAUCAUAAUAGAUGGAGAAGAAGUCAUAGGAGGAAAGGUUGGAGACCAAAUAAUAGAAGAUGGAGAAGAAAGCAUAGGAGGAAAGGUUGGACAUCAAAGUCUAGAAGAUGGAGAAGAAGUCCUAGGAGGAAAGGUUGGAGAUCAUAACAGAUGGAGAAGAAGUCAUAGGAGGAAAGGUUGGAGACCAAAUAAUAGGAGAUGGAGAAG